Molecule: ribosomal RNA, 490 nt
Filed under: uncultured bacterium
Lineage: Bacteria
Description: partial 16S ribosomal RNA
Rfam family: Bacterial small subunit ribosomal RNA
Source: RNAcentral
AUUGAACGCUGGCGGCAGGCCUAACACAUGCAAGUCGAACGGUAACAGGAAGAAGCUUGCUUCUUUGCUGACGAGUGGCGGACGGGUGAGUAAUGUCUGGGAAACUGCCUGAUGGAGGGGGAUAACUACUGGAAACGGUAGCUAAUACCGCAUAACGUCGCAAGACCAAAGAGGGGGACCUUCGGGCCUCUUGCCAUCGGAUGUGCCCAGAUGGGAUUAGCUAGUAGGUGGGGUAACGGCUCACCUAGGCGACGAUCCCUAGCUGGUCUGAGAGGAUGACCAGCCACACUGGAACUGGAACACGGUCCAGACUCCUACGGGAGGCAGCAGUGGGGAAUAUUGCACAAUGGGCGCAAGCCUGAUGCAGCCAUGCCGCGUGUAUGAAGAAGGCCUUCGGGUUGUAAAGUACUUUCAGCGGGGAGGAAGGGAGUAAAGUUAAUACCUUUGCUCAUUGACGUUACCCGCAGAAGAAGCACCGGCUAACUCCGUG